This 1611-nucleotide long non-coding RNA is filed under the name Pogona vitticeps (central bearded dragon). RNAcentral's name for it is "lncRNA (ENSPVIG00000008810.1)". The record is from RNAcentral. Lineage: Eukaryota; Metazoa; Chordata; Lepidosauria; Squamata; Agamidae.
CCUGGCCCGCCCGCCUGCGUCCGCGCAGCGCCCUCCCCCUCGGCCGCGGGGAAAGGAAGGCACACAAUGGGAACAAAGCGGGGCGGGGAGACGCUAAUGAGCGCCGCGCGGGGGGUUUGGGCCUGCGCGGGGAGAGGGAAGGGGGAGAAUCCGGGCAGGACGCGGGGGGGGGAAGCUCCGCCCCUCCCCACCCAGCCCAUUCAGCAAAAAAGCAUCGAGCAGGCCGUGGAGGGAUUUUGUCAUUUGGGGGCAGAGAGAUUGAGCGCGAGCUGGGUCUUAGAAGGGCCGCUGUGGAUUUAUCUGCUGCGGGAAGAGCCCCUUUGCAUUCCUGGACUUAAAUCAUUUCAGCAUAAGGAGAUCAACAGUGGAGUUCAACAGAGGAUGCAUGGCUCUUCUGAGGGCAGAAGUGACUCAGACUUUUGAAGAAGAUAGCUUCAAAUAUCCACUUUGGGGACAAGGUACUCAUGUAACUGGUAGGCUCUCUGCCUGAAAUAUGUUGUUCCCAAGAAAUUCUUCUUCAGUGAUUUAAGAUUGCCUGCAUCUGGAACUAGGUGUGAAAAUGCAUUUCAUCAAACCUUUCCCCCUUCAAGUAUCAGUGUUCAAAGAUCAGAAGAAAAUAAUUCUUUAUAACCUGAGAUGUAAGAGGAGGCAUCAAGAAUAUUCAUUAUAUCUUCUUUAUUGUAUGUGUGAUGUGCCAUUAAGUCAGAAUCCUAGCAGGGCUUUCAAGGUAAGUGAGAUAUUUAAGGAGUGAUUUUACCUGGGUACGUGGUGGCGCUGUGAGCUAAACCGCAGAAGCCUGUGCUGCAGGGUCAGAAGACCAAGCAGUCGUAAGAUCGAAUCCACGUGAGGGAGUAAGCGCCUGUCACUUGUCCCAGCUCCCGCCAACCUAGCAGUUUGAAAGCAUGCAAAUGUGAGUACUGUAGAUAAAUAGGUACCACCACGGUGGGAAGGUAACAGCGUUCCGUGUCUAAGUCGCACUGACCACGUGACUACGGAAGAUUGUCUUCAGACAAAAACGCUGGCUCUAUGGCUUAGAAACGGGGAUGAGCACCACCCCCUAGAGUCGAACACGACUGGACAAAAAUUGUCAAGGGAAACCUUUACCUUUACCUUUAUCUGACCUAAAACGAUAUUUAAGGAGUGGUUUUCCCAGUUCCACACCCCCAGUGAGUUUCCAUAGCUGAGCAGGGAUUUGACUCCUGUUCUCUAGAGUCCUAGCCCGUCGUUCUGUCCACUACACUGCACUGGGCCUUAGCAUAUUCAUUAUUCAUAUCUAACAAAAAAUCCAUAUAUUGCAUUGUCUUUAAAUAAUGCUUAUUACUGUAAUGUCAUUCUGAUUGCUAUAAAUAUGUUGAUUGCUUUGGACAUUUCUGUGUCCCUUAAUUAUUAAUCUGAGGCUUAACAAAAUAACUUUAAUGUGGUAGUGGAGUCAACCUGGAGAUGUAGUUUGGUGCAGAGGCUGAUCUCUGAUAAUCUGCUACCUAAUGUAGGAAAGGCAAUUUUUCUCCACUGUACUCUUCUUGCAUAUUUGUAAAUAAGGUAAUUAUUACAAAAAUGUUAAGGUUCUAGUGAACUUCCAUUCAAAAUAAAUUAACAAUGUAAUCUUAUGCA